UCACAAAACCACAUCGAUGACCCUCUCCUGUGCAGCCCGGAGCCUGGUUUGACUGCGGGAGGAGAAGUCCCACGCUUGGCACCGCUGUAGCACGUUGCAUUUCUCAGGACGUAGGGCAAAGCUGAGGUGCCUCUGUCCCCGCCCUCCCCGGUCUGCAAAGCCCCCGGCCCCUUCUCCCCGGGAUGGGGCUGCGGAGGAGGGCUGGCCAGGGCAGCAGCGGAGCCGGGGAAGCGGCUUUGGCUGGUGAUGUCAACCUCUAGGAGGAGCCUGUGCCUGUCCUUUUACUUUCAGGCUCCAUGUAAUUAGCAUGAGGCGGUUCGUCACUUACUAGUGUUACCCUCGGGGGCUCGACCAUGAAAUCCCCCCCUCCAGCCUCCCUAUGGACCCGAGGAACUUUUAAGGCAGGGGCUGCUGCUUCCCCUUGAUCUUCCUGCUUCCUUCCCUUCCCCCCGCCCCAUAAUCUAACCCGGGUUCAUUAAUAAUCAGUAUUAAUGUUACUAGCCGGCCUCUGCGCCGGGCAUGUGAAGCCCCCCGGCUGCAUCAUGCGAGCAACGUGCACUUUGCUGCUGCGCCAGCUUAACCUCCUGCUGCUGCUGCUGCUGCUGCUGCUGCAGCCCUCUGCGGGAUCGGGGCCCUUCGCCUCCUCCAGCGACCCCCCUCCUCGGACCCAGCUCAGCGGAGCCACCACGCCGGCCGCGGGGCCGCAGGGUUCUUCCAGCCGGGACGUCUCUGCUGCAGCUGCUGCCGCGGCGGCGGCGGCGGCUUCCCGGCUGCCUCCCUGGGAGAGGGAGAGCUCCGUGCCCUGGGCGCCGCCAGUGUCCGGCAGCACCUCGGAGCCGGCCGCGGCAGGACACACCAGCAGCCCGGUCAUUGGAAGUGGCUAUCAGACACCUAGAAGUUCAGAUAUUGAAAUGAGGACUUCCAGGUCUCCUACAGACAAUAUGGAGACACUCACUACAUUCUCCAGAAGUGGAGAGAGGACGUUGCUUUCUAUAACAAACAGUGCCAUGUCUACAACUGCAACAGAAAGCACCACCUCUUAUACAGAAAUGAUCAGUUCUGCAAAUUUAACCCAGCACUCCUCUUCUGUAGAGCAGAACAGAAGAAAUAGCUCCUCAAGUGACAUGUAUUUCACUGAGCCUGGAACGGAGACUUUGAUUGUACAUUCUUCUGAGAUACCCACCUAUUCAUCUUCACAAAGUGAUCCUCCAGCCAUUGGAAGCAGCCAGGAGACAGCUAGCAUCUGGGAUACGGAAAAAAAGACUCCUAGUUUUCAUACUGAUAGUAUGUACAUUUCACCUACAUUCAGAAGAGGUGGGGAGAGGACAACAGAGUUGCUAACAAACAGCAUUGCUUCGACUGAUUCACUGAAAAGCACCACUUCUCAUACAGAAAUUGCCAUAUCUUCAGAUCUAUCCCACUCCUCAACUUCUAUAUCAUGGACUGGAGGAAGUAAUAGAUCAUCAACUAUCGCUGCUCUCCCUGAGUCUUCAGCAGGGCCUUUACUUACAUAUUCCCCUGUAAAGAGUGGUCUCCCAGCCAUUGGAAGUAGCCAUCAGCCAAUUAGCGGCUCAGAGAAAAAUAUUGCCAGUACAUACAUUUCAACUCCAUCCACCAGAGCUGGAGCAGGGAUAUUACAAGAUCUAAUAAACAGCAGCAGAUCUUCUAAUGCAACAGGAAACUCUACUUCUGGUACUGAAAUGUCCAGCUCUUCGUAUUUAACCCAGUCGUCAUCUAUAUCUUCUAUACCACUGACCAGUAGAAUUCAUAUCUCAUUGGCUGCCACAGAUUUCAUAGAGCCUUCAACAGACCCUUUGCUUACACAGUCUCAUUCUGCUUCAGAAACUGCUUCCAAAGCCAUUGGAAGUAGCCACCAGCCAAUUAACAUCUCAGCUACAGAGAAAAGGACUUCCAAUUUGUAUACCACCAGUACAGACAUUUCAACAUCAUUCACGAGAGGUGGAGAGAGGACGUUAAGGUCUCUAAUGAACAACAGCACAUUAACUGAUGUAGCAGACAGCUCCACUUCUGACUUAGAAAAUACCAAGUCUUCAGAUUUACCCCAGCCCUCAUCUCCUGUAGCACAGGUUGGAGGAAGUAAUAUCUCAUCAAGUGACUUGACUGAGCCUUCCACAGAGUCUUUGCUUUCACAUUCUUCCAAGAUCCCAAGUUAUUCGUCUUCCACAAAUGAUCUUGCAGCUAUUGGAAGUAGCUACCAACCGAUUAACAUCUCAACUACAGAAACAAGGACUUCUGAUGUGCAUACUUCCAGUUCCUAUAUGUCAAUGACAUUCACCGUAGCUUCAGAGAGGACCUUAACGUCUCUAACAAACAGCAGCACAUUGGCUGAUGCAGCAGAAAGCUCCACUUCUAAUUUAGGAAAUAUCAGGUCUUCGNACAUCGGCUGAUGCAGCAGAAAGCUCCACUUCUAACUUAGGAAAUAUCAGGUCUUCGGAUUUACCCCAGCCCUCAUCUGCUGUAGCACAGGUUGGAGGAAAUAAUAUCUCAUCUCNGGAUUUACCCCAGCCCUCAUCUGCUUUAGCACAAGCUGGAGGAAAUAAUAUCUCAUCUAGUGACUUCACGGAGCCUUCCACGGAGCUUUUGCUUACGCAUUCUUCCAAGAUCCCAAGUUAUUCGUCUUCCCCAAAUGAUCUUGCAGGUGAGUUUUGUGAUUCCUCAGCUGGUUAGUGCACAGUUCAAAAAAAUGGUAAAAGAGCCUCCUCCUCACCAAA
Gopherus agassizii (Agassiz's desert tortoise) is the source of this 2732-nucleotide long non-coding RNA. The record is from Ensembl. Lineage: Eukaryota; Metazoa; Chordata; Testudines; Testudinidae.